GUAUUUCUCACUUUAGCAACAUAUAUACUGAAAUUAGAGCAAUACAAAGAUUAGUGUGGACCCUUCAAAGGAUAACACACAAAUCUGUGAUGCAUUCCAUAUUUGU
This 106-nucleotide small nuclear RNA is filed under the name Jaculus jaculus (lesser Egyptian jerboa). Lineage: Eukaryota; Metazoa; Chordata; Mammalia; Rodentia; Dipodidae. The record is from RNAcentral.